Centruroides sculpturatus (bark scorpion) is the source of this 341-nucleotide long non-coding RNA. RefSeq lists it as uncharacterized. The record is from RefSeq and is a predicted model, not a curated record. The transcript is spliced from 2 exons. Lineage: Eukaryota; Metazoa; Arthropoda; Arachnida; Scorpiones; Buthidae.
CAGAGUAGAGAAAUAAGCGACAGAAAGCAAGGGUCAAGAGGAUUAAUCAAAUUUGAUGAAAGGAAAAAUGGUGAUGAUGGAUCUUCAUUCGAAGAUGAAUCCAUGAGAAAAGAUGACGAUGAUGAUAGAGAAACAACAAUGUGCUCAGACGUUUUUGUAUAUUUUUCUGCAAACUUCCAUCCAUCAUCUGUUCGUGUUGGAAAAGAAGAAAGUAAAAUGCUCAAUGGUGAAAAAGGUACGGUUCAGAUCAACGUCUGAAUAACAGUUACGUCUAGAAGGAUUUCUUUAUCUUGCAACCACUGUACUUUCAUUGUGUAUGAAGUACUGUACCUGUGACGAUA